Molecule: unclassified non-coding RNA, 206 nt
Filed under: soil metagenome
Description: partial contains small subunit ribosomal RNA, internal transcribed spacer 1, and 5.8S ribosomal RNA
Source: RNAcentral
UUUCCGUAGGUGAACCUGCGGAAGGAUCAUUACAAAUUGGUUUAUCCAAUCAUUCAACCUCAUGUGCCAGUCGGAUGGUGGGAGGUUCUCACUAACCACCGCCCGACAUUACUUACCAAUCAUUUUACUUUGAUACAGUUUACUGACAGACUUGCCCAGCAAGCAUCUGGAAGAAACAACUUUUAGCAAUGGAUCUCUUGGUUCUC